This 183-nucleotide ribosomal RNA is filed under the name Triticum aestivum (bread wheat). Its description in RNAcentral is "partial small subunit ribosomal RNA". Lineage: Eukaryota; Viridiplantae; Streptophyta; Magnoliopsida; Poales; Poaceae. The record is from RNAcentral.
AUGCAGAAAGGACACGCCUCCCUUGCGCUCCUCACGACAUGGUCCAUCUGGCGCCAUCGCAGUGCAUGCAUCUUCAACCAUGCGCACCCCUCUACCUCGCACCUCCUUCAGGUCAUCAAGGACGACGCUUGGGCAUGGGCUACUGCAGGGGCCAAGGACAUCGCGAACUUUAUGCCUCCUUGA